UUAGAGUUAUCUGGGAAGUUUAAUUGAAAUUUGAUUUCGUACGAAUCGUAAGGCCACGUUUGGCUCUCUCUAUUGUGUUAUGUUGGUGUGUAUGUUUAUACUUAUAUUAUGGGUGCCUUAUGAGUGGAUGGACUCAUCUCUUAGAAUAAAAAAAAAUAUAUAUCUAGAGGAAAGGGGGAGCCACGUGAGAGAGGGAGAGAUAGAGAACUCAAGGAGAAGAAGGAAGGAAGAGCUUGAGAAUGAAGAGGAAAGAUGGGGAAAUUGAUGGAAUUACUUCAAGAGAUUGGCUCUAGGUCAAGACGAGGACAUCGUUCCACCGCUAUCAGAGACCUACCGCUGUAAUUACUUUGGGAGUCCAUCUUAACCCUUGAUGCUCACCCUC
Camellia sinensis is the source of this 382-nucleotide non-coding RNA. Lineage: Eukaryota; Viridiplantae; Streptophyta; Magnoliopsida; Ericales; Theaceae. The record is from RefSeq and is a predicted model, not a curated record.